UCCACUAUCCAAUCCAACCGCCGUGCUGACAAUGGCGUCUUGUAAUGUGCGCGAAGUUUUGUGCGUUGAAGUGCUAUAUAAAAGUUGCAGUAUCUCGUACUUGUGUUGCAGAAAUGUGAGAACUCUGAGUCAUACUUCCUAGUUUCUUAAACUACAAUUUGGGUACAUGACAAGCUGUCACAACCCUUCUAGGAACUUCCUUGCUUCGGUGAAACGCGAGACCAUAGAUACUCUUUGCCAGCAUUCCCAGUGGAAGUGAAUGUGCGAAGUCAAACCUGACAGUGAGUGAUUUGAGUAACAGUGCACUUUCUGACUUUGAGGUGACUGGCAGGAUGUGGUACAGGAGGAUCUAUACAGGGCUGUAAAAGAUCAGAGGCUUCCAUCCGACCUGAAGGCCUGCAGGUGGACAACCUCAGGAAGUGCACUCACAGACUGCAAAGUAUAAGAACUCCUAAGAAAAGAGCGUCAUGCUGGAGAAGAGAGUCAUCACCCAUCAUGAUUAUACUUCAGCCGUUUGACAGUCACGUAGAAUGGUGACCUGCCCAACUUGCGUUCUUCAGGAAGGUCAACACCAAGCAUCCACCUGAGUAACGUCUGUGAUGCCCAUUGCAUCGUGAGGGACAGUGUAACGUGGACACUACUAGUGGUUGUGCAGUGCAGUGUGGACAAAACUAAGGAUUCUUUUGAGAGACACGGUGAUGCAUCACUGUUUCUGGAUAGCCAUGUGCGUUUUGUGGUAUUUGUGCAUCAUGUUGAAUUGACGAGGAAGUUUUACAGAAGUAAGUAGACAAUAUUCAUCAAGUAAGUGUUACAGUCUGACACUUUUCCAGUUCGAGCACGCACUGUUAUAUUAAUUACAUAUAUACAGUCGGCAACUGUUAAUUCGGACUUGUAGGAGGAACAACAUUUGUCCAAAUUAUCGAGCAGUCCGGAUUGGUAGCUAAUGACAAACAUCUGCUUCCAACAAUGGCCAUUAUUAGAGACAUUGAAACUCAAUUGAAAGCAGUCUCUGUUUAGCAGCACGCACACAGGAAAGAACGCAUUUCUGCUAAGGUCGCGGUGUCGGAAUACACAGUUCCGAGCGUGUCAAUGGCCGCGGUUGACGGAGGAUCCCUGAUGUCCACGCCACUACCGUCAUCUGAUCUGUCCGCGGGCAAGUUAAGGCAGAAUCACCUCAAUGUAAUCGCUAUGGGGCUUCUUGUGUCCAGGUCAUCUCUGAAAGGGCAGGGAAUAUUGAGUUCCACCUCACAGAGAUAAUACUAUGUCCGAUCCUGCAUUGACUGUCACGUUUUUUGUUCCAGUGCGGCACUUUGUUGAAUUUAUACGCAUUUUUGUUUCUUCCGAUAUCUUCGGAGCUCUAAGGGAAGAACACUAAAAUGCUGAUUAAAAUUUCCCUAUAGCGAGGACCCACUUAAGAAUGGUGUUAAGUCUUGCGUCUCUUCUCAAUGAUCAUAAUUCAAGCAAGCUUUUUACUUUCAAAAACUUUCCAAAUCUUUGUGAUAACCUGGACAAAAAGAUGUAUUUGUCGUCUGCCACGGAGGACCACUGCGGGGGACAGCACUGUGCUGCCACCACAAUCAAUUUACGCUUCGGGAGAGGAGUGGUCGUAGUGAGGGAAAGAACGUUCUCUGUUGAUGUUGAAACCGAAUCCUAUACUGCGUGCAUGGAAUUUGAACAUGCUCACUUUCAUCGCAUCGGCUACGCGACAGGUAGUUUUGACGAACCAUGCGUGUUCAGAGACCUCGGCGUCAGCAUGGAGAUGGGCAUCGGCUGUUGGUGUUCUAUCGUAAUAGUUUGCAAUGCAAAUAUUCAGCUUUGACAGCUUCCACAAAUCAUGUAUACGGUACAACACUGACUUCUGACAUAUCUUCAUAGUUUCUGACAAAAUUUCGAAUUAGUUUCUAAUUAUUUAUACAUAAUUUUAAAUUUUUAACGAAGUAGUUAUAAUGACUAAAAAGUCCACAAUUGUGUGGCGAGACCAGAAAACUUCAAUCAAGAAAUGCAACUGAUGACACAAGGCGGACCAUAUAAUUUUAUUGCACUAGACGCUACCAGUUGAAGGGCUCUCCGCAAAUGAUGUAAGCUAAAAUUUGUAGGCUGAAGAGAUAAGAACAAACAGUAAUAACAACGUGUAGUUUUCUAAUGUUGCAGUACACAGAUUGUUUUUUAUUCAUGUAUGUAAAGUGGGCCUGCAGCUCAUGAAAGCGGUGUAAGUUCAUUUACGUCGUUAUUGAAGAGAGCCAUUCAACUGCAAAGCCGUAAACUUUCAAAGCUUGUUUCAAAGUUUUACCAGCGCAAGGCAUGCAAAGAUUGCAGAAAUAACGGAGGCAGUUAUAAAGAUUAUCAUCCGGACACCCUGUACUAUAUUAGCCAGAAGAUACAUGAUGCCAUUAUAGCCAUGACACAAUCAUGCAAUAAAAAGCUCAUCUGUAAACAAAUAUACAUUUCUGCACAAUCUCAGAGUAACAUGGUUAUUAUGUGUACUACUUCAAUACAAAUAUCUCGCAUUA
Molecule: long non-coding RNA, 2510 nt
Organism: Ornithodoros turicata
Lineage: Eukaryota; Metazoa; Arthropoda; Arachnida; Ixodida; Argasidae
Exons: 4
Source: RefSeq, a predicted model, not a curated record